UGAGAGCACGAUUUUAUAUCCGGGACUUGAAUUUGCCCCCCAUUAGCUAGCUGCGUUCCCAAUUUUUAAACUCGAUGCCUCCUCUAGUGUUAUUUAUAAUCUCUAUGACCGGAACAGGUAGGCAAUUUGUCGACGCUGACCAAAAAUAGCGGCUCAUUUCUUCUUGAGUUUCCAUUUUCGCGUCGAAGAGCAAAAAUAUAGACUUUCGGAGAAUAUUUUAGCUGUUUACUAUCAAUUAUGUUCGUGAAACAGUUGAUAAUCUUACUGAGGAAGGCCAACGGUUUCUGAAAAGCUAUAGUACGUCGAAAUCAGCUUUGGAAUAGACUAUAUUUUCACCGGGGAAACAUGAACAAAAUGGAUAUUUACAUCAACACUAAAUUUUGCUCGUGCCUACAGAGCUAGUUGGAUUAAAACAGAUGUUAAGAAGUAAGUGAAAAUGUGAACUUUGUGAAUUAUACUUUCAUUAAAAUGUUUCAGAAAGUCUGCUAAUGUCAAACUACACGUAUGACAGAGCUGUCAGUAUACCUACAUUUCAAUGUUUAUGUUGAAAUGACCCAUCUUCUUUGAGGUAUAGCUUAAAAUUUAGGGUAUGCUCAUCACUUGAAACUAACUUUAAAUCAAAGUUUUAUCUAUAGUCUUUAUAGUAGAAUUAAAAUCAUUCAUGGGAAAAAUGUGCCAAAGGGUUGAAAUUGCCCUUGUAAAUGUACACUAUUUUUGACAUGCUUGGGUUAGUAUUUUGAAAAGGUGUUCUGGAAGGGAAAUAUGUCUUGAACAAUACUGGUUGACCCUUAAAUUAUAACUAGUGUUAUGUAAAUCACAGAAAAUUGAAAAAAAUCUGGUACAUACACAAUAUUUUGGACCCUAUGAUGUCCCGAAUGGGGCUUAUUUCAAUGUUGAAUCUGUUUACCUGGAAAAACUUAGAAAAUUGAAUAAGUCAAGAAUUUGACUAUGCUCAUCACCCAAAACCAGGUUUUUCUAAUUGCUUUUUCACCUGGGUUUGUGGCAAUGCCAGUUUUGUGACCAUGAAAAAUGCGCGCGGCACUUUUUUUGGACACUGAAGAUGGUACCAUUUGAUGUUGUCAUAUAUUGCCAUCCUCUUAUCAUAGCACAACUUAACUUAUUUUAGUGAGUUUGUUAAAGAGUUGUGUUCACUAUAUGCUUGUAGUAUAUAAGAUUUUUUCAUAGCAUUAAAUAAUAAAUUUAAGUUCUGUUUUCUUUUAUUUUUAGGUGAUAGUAUCUAUUCACUCCAAUGUUGGUAUCAAAUUUUGGUCAAGUUUCAAUUAUUAUUUCACAUUCCUUUAUUCAAAUAUCCAAAUAAAUGGAAUAUGAUAUCAAGCUGGAGGACUAGAACC
Molecule: long non-coding RNA, 1352 nt
Filed under: Paramuricea clavata
Lineage: Eukaryota; Metazoa; Cnidaria; Anthozoa; Malacalcyonacea; Plexauridae
Source: RNAcentral